UGCAUAUCCAAAAAGCGGAGGAAAAGAAACCAACAGGGAUUGCCCUAGUAACGGCGAGUGAACAGGCAAGAGCUCAGAUUUGAAAGGCACUUUUGUGCCGUUGUAUUCUGAAGUUAGGGUCCUGAGAAACGAUGCUUAAGUCUUCUGGAAAGGAGCGCCAUGGAGGGUGAUAGCCCCGUCUAGCAUUGACCUCAUAUAGGAUCUUAACAUGGAGUCGAGUUGUUUGGGAAUGCAGCUCAAAUGGGUGGUAUGCUCCAUCUAAAGCUAAAUAUCUGCGAGAGACCGAUAGUAAACAAGUACUGUGAGGGAAAGAUGAAAAGAACUUUGAAAAGAGAGUGAAAAAGUACGUGAAAUUGUUGAAAUGGAAGGGUAGGCCGCUAACCAUGUAGAGCCGUGUUUGGGGGGAAGAUAAAUGCUGUAGAAUGUAGCUCCUCGGAGUAUUAUAGAUGCAGUUCAUAUUCCCACCCGAGCGCGAGGAUCUCAGGUUCUACUAAAUGGUGGUCUACCACCCGUCUUGAAACAACGGACCCA
RNAcentral lists this ribosomal RNA (531 nucleotides) under Starmerella bacillaris. RNAcentral's name for it is "partial large subunit ribosomal RNA". It matches the Rfam family "Eukaryotic large subunit ribosomal RNA", at positions 37 to 669 of the family's 3401-position model. Lineage: Eukaryota; Fungi; Ascomycota; Dipodascomycetes; Dipodascales; Trichomonascaceae. The record is from RNAcentral.